AUUGAACGCUGGCGGCAGGCCUAAUACAUGCAAGUCGAGCGGAUGAAGGGAGCUUGCUCCUGGAUUCCGCGGCGGACGGGUGAGUAAUGCCUAGGAAUCUGCCUGGUCGUGGGGGAUAACGUCCGGACACGGGCGCUAAUACCGCAUCCGUCCUGAGGGAGAAAGUGGGGGAUCUUCGGACCUCACGCUAUCAGAUGAGCCUAGGUCGGAUUAGCUAGUUGGUGGGGUAAAGGCCUACCAAGGCGACGAUCCGUAACUGGUCUGAGAGGAUGAUCAGUCACACUGGAACUGAGACACGGUCCAGACUCCUACGGGAGGCAGCAGUAGGGAAUAUUGGACAAUGGGCGAAAGCCUGAUCCAGCCAUGCCGCGUGUGUGAAGAAGGUCUUCGGAUCGUAAAGCACUUUUAGUUGGGAGGAAGAGCAGUAAGUGAAUACCUUGCUGUUUUGACAUUACCAACAGAGUAAGCACCGGCUAACUUCGUG
RNAcentral lists this ribosomal RNA (484 nucleotides) under uncultured bacterium. RNAcentral's name for it is "partial 16S ribosomal RNA". It matches the Rfam family "Bacterial small subunit ribosomal RNA", at positions 30 to 507 of the family's 1533-position model. The record is from RNAcentral.